This 1207-nucleotide unclassified non-coding RNA is filed under the name Hevea brasiliensis (rubber tree). Lineage: Eukaryota; Viridiplantae; Streptophyta; Magnoliopsida; Malpighiales; Euphorbiaceae. The record is from RNAcentral.
CAGAAUCCAAAUUCUGAUGCCAAGGUGCUUAUGAAAAAAGGGUUAAUUUUACAAGAACGGUAAAAAAUUCGAAGCAUAAUGUUACAUAACAGAUACUGAAACUAUUUGACUUGUUAUUUGCGAAAAGAAACAUUUCAUACAACACCAAGGAACAUAAAAGAAUUAGAAUCGAUCAUAAGAAAAAGGACUUAUCAGAGACUCUUCAAGUUCUCGAAAUCCUCGGUAAACAGCCUCAGUUUUGCUCUGGGGAAGCGGCAACCUCCUCACUUCUGUCAUGUACCUGUUUGCAGCACUUGUGAUCUUAUCACGAAUUCCCUGGUUAAUGACUGUUGUUUGCUCCUGUGAGAAUGUUCCACCUAAUAUUAGGGAAGCUCCACUUGUCGUAGUACCCAUCCGCUGUGCAAAUACAGACAUAGCCCAUUCUCGGAGUACCACUAGCACUGAUCUGAGAAGGCGUAACCUAAGGUUGGGAGAUGGCAAAAUAGCUCCAUUUGACAACAACUGAUCAUAUGCAUUCAGGACAGGUUCGGUUGCACCCUUGCAAGCAGCAAGAAGAGCUCUUGCUACAUCUUCAUCUCCAACAGAUUCAACCCCUGAUUCCAGUCUCUCCAGAGCGGCCUUCUCAAGGUGAAGACAUAAAGUAUCUAAAGGUAAAACAGCUCCAUCUCCAGGAUACAUGUGGGAACCAACCCUCUUCAACACUGAACAAGCUUCAGCAAUGCCACCACUUGAAAGAGCUUGAUCUAUUAGUCUAGCCCAGGUUUCCCUUAUAAUGCUACUAUCAGCAUCACCAGAAUAAUUUGCAAAGUAAAGCAUCUCAAGACAUACCUCCCAGAGUUCAAAAGGAACCGCAUAUUCAUUAUAUAGUUGAGUUAUGCUUUUUAAAUCCAAUGAUAGUUCUUUGGCUUUUUCUUGUACAACUUUCACAUACUCCACAUUGGCAUUGUUGUCAGGGACAGAUCCAUUUUGGAUGGGCUCAGACAUGCUAGAUGAAGAUUCUAACCUGGAAGCUAUAGCCUCCAGUUCCUCUUUUAUUUUUAUUUGAAACCGAAGAACCACAAGCUUCCCUUCAAGCAAAUCUAGCAACCCACUGUCCAAGGCACCUGCACCCCUUGCGGAACCUACCAAACCACCAUUAUCACUAGCAUUCUUUGCCUGUAUAACAGCAUUGCUUAGAUAUUGGCGCCUUUGUUCAAGACUGGGAACA